AAUCAACGCUGGCGGCGUGCCUCAGACAUGCAAGUCGAACGCGAAAUUUCCCUUCGGGGAGAAAGUAGAGUGGCGCACGGGUGAGUAACACGUAGGUAAUCUACCUUUGGAUGGGGAAUAACACCGAGAAAUCGGUGCUAAUACCGCAUAAUGCAGCGGCACCUAAUGGUGACAGUUGUUAAAGCGGGGGAUCGCAAGACCUCGCGUCUAAAGAGGAGCCUGCGGCGGAUUAGCUAGUUGGUAAGGUAAUGGCUUACCAAGGCGACGAUCCAUAACCGGCCUGAGAGGGCGGUCGGUCACACUGACACUGACAUACGGGUCAGACUCCUACGGGAGGCAGCAGUCGGGAAUUUUGGGCAAUGGGCGAAAGCCUGACCCAGCAACGCCGCGUGAAGGAUGAAAUCCCUCGGGAUGUAAACUUCGCAAGAACGGGAAGAAUAAGCCGGUGUGAAUACCACCGGCGAUGACGGUACCGUUUGUAAGCUCCGGCUAACUCCGUGCCAGCAGCCGCGGU
This 514-nucleotide ribosomal RNA is filed under the name uncultured bacterium. RNAcentral's name for it is "bacterial SSU rRNA". It matches the Rfam family "Bacterial small subunit ribosomal RNA", at positions 32 to 521 of the family's 1533-position model. The record is from RNAcentral.